AACGAACGCUGGCGGCGUGGAUUAGGCAUGCAAGUCGAACGCGAAAGAGGGGGCAACCCCUCGAGUAGAGUGGCGAACGGGUGAGUAACGCGUGAGAAACCUGCCCUCAGCAGGGGGAUAACACUCCCAACGGAGUGCUAAUACCGCAUGAGACCACGGGACUGCAUGGUCCUGGGGUCAAAGGUGGCCUCUGCUUGCAAGCUACCGGCUGAGGAUGGUCUCGCGUCCCAUUAGCUAGUUGGCGGGGUAAUGGCCCACCAAGGCGACGAUGGGUAGCUGGUCUGAGAGGAUGGUCAGCCACACUGGGACUGAGAUACGGCCC
Molecule: ribosomal RNA, 322 nt
Filed under: uncultured bacterium
Lineage: Bacteria
Description: bacterial SSU rRNA
Rfam family: Bacterial small subunit ribosomal RNA
Source: RNAcentral